AACACUCAACAGAGCCUGGCUGGGGAUGGAAGAGAUGACCAGUCUGUCUGGUGAUGCCGACCUUUUCUGGGAAAUAACUGGUUUCUUGCUGGGGAACAGGAUUUGUAACCGGACUUGUUGGAAAGCAUGGUUAGACCUUAUCCUCGAUCCUGAAGUCUUUUAGUAACUGCCAUUGCUAUUUUAUGCAUGUAUUUUUGGUAAACCUCAGUCAUGUUCAAAUGCAUAUAUCCAUUCAAGUUAAAUCAAUGGACGUUUACG
RNAcentral lists this long non-coding RNA (258 nucleotides) under Lathyrus oleraceus (garden pea). RNAcentral's name for it is "Pisum sativum (pea) long non-coding RNA (PSAT_LNC025895)". Lineage: Eukaryota; Viridiplantae; Streptophyta; Magnoliopsida; Fabales; Fabaceae. The record is from RNAcentral.